GAAGUUGAGAGAGGAUCUUUGUCAAGUUGUCUAGCUUUUGAGUCAAGAGAUGAUUAUGAGCUAGCAUAGCAUCAUUCGCAGGCAAGUGCAAGACUUCUCUCUUUGUUGUAGGUGCGCCCCUUUCACUGUAAGUUUCCUGCUCAUUAGCAGUUGUUAAACUGCCUUUUAGUCGCCUAAGGCAGAACAAAGAACUGGUCCCCACUAAUGUAGCAUAGGGCAACCAAAAUAUCAAUCCUAGGACUCAGC
RNAcentral lists this long non-coding RNA (246 nucleotides) under Vigna radiata. Its description in RNAcentral is "long non-coding RNA (VRAD_LNC010336)". Lineage: Eukaryota; Viridiplantae; Streptophyta; Magnoliopsida; Fabales; Fabaceae. The record is from RNAcentral.